UACGGGGGGAGCAAGCGUUGUUCGGAUUUACUGGGCGUAAAGGGCGCGUAGGCGGCCAGCACAAGUCAGUUGUGAAAUCUCCGAGCUUAGCUCGGAAAGGUCAACUGAUACUGUGCGGCUAGAGUGCAGAAGGGGCAACUGGAAUUCUUGGUGUAGCGGUGAAAUGCGUAGAUAUCAAGAGGAACACCUGCGGCGAAGGCGGGUUGCUGGGCUGACACUGACGCUGAGGCGCGAAAGCUAGGGGAGCGAACGGG
RNAcentral lists this ribosomal RNA (254 nucleotides) under uncultured bacterium. RNAcentral describes it as "partial 16S ribosomal RNA". It matches the Rfam family "Bacterial small subunit ribosomal RNA", at positions 524 to 776 of the family's 1533-position model. The record is from RNAcentral.